This 694-nucleotide ribosomal RNA is filed under the name uncultured Bacilli bacterium. Its description in RNAcentral is "bacterial SSU rRNA". It matches the Rfam family "Bacterial small subunit ribosomal RNA", at positions 50 to 725 of the family's 1533-position model. Lineage: Bacteria; Bacillati; Bacillota; Bacilli. The record is from RNAcentral.
AAUACAUGCAAGUCGAGCGGACCGACGGGAGCUCGCUCCCUUAGGUCAGCGGCGGACGGGUGAGUAACACGUGGGUAACCUGCCUGUAAGACUGGGAUAACUCCGGGAAACCGGGGCUAAUACCGGAUGCUUGAUUGAACCGCAUGGUUCAAUCAUAAAAGGUGGCUUUUAGCUACCACUUACAGAUGGACCCGCGGCGCAUUAGCUAGUUGGUGAGGUAACGGCUCACCAAGGCGACGAUGCGUAGCCGACCUGAGAGGGUGAUCGGCCACACUGGGACUGAGACACGGCCCAGACUCCUACGGGAGGCAGCAGUAGGGAAUCUUCCGCAAUGGACGAAAGUCUGACGGAGCAACGCCGCGUGAGUGAUGAAGGUUUUCGGAUCGUAAAACUCUGUUGUUAGGGAAGAACAAGUACCGUUCGAAUAGGGCGGCACCUUGACGGUACCUAACCAGAAAGCCACGGCUAACUACGUGCCAGCAGCCGCGGUAAUACGUAGGUGGCAAGCGUUGUCCGGAAUUAUUGGGCGUAAAGCGCGCGCAGGCGGUUUCUUAAGUCUGAUGUGAAAGCCCCCGGCUCAACCGGGGAGGGUCAUUGGAAACUGGGGAACUUGAGUGCAGAAGAGGAGAGUGGAAUUCCACGUGUAGCGGUGAAAUGCGUAGAGAUGUGGAGGAACACCAGUGGCGAAGGCAAC